AGACCCCGGAGUAGCCGGGACUACAGGCGCCUGUGCAAUCUCUAUGAAUCGGGCAGCCAUUAGAACCAAAACAGUUCUGAGGAGCUCCCAGGCUGCAAUGUGGUGCGAAAUGUUUUAUGGACAGAAAAUGGAAAUGAGGUGCAGAAAUUGGAGCCUUUCACCAGUGUAACCAUCCCAAAUUUGCAUCUUGUCUGAUGCUAACUGAGGAAGAAGGGCACCUGGAGUUUGACCAGCAGGAACAAAACAUGUUAAAAUUGUUGCAGAAGAUGAUGAGAUGAAAUUUCAGUCUUUAUUCAAGAUCAAGUGCAACUGUCUCUUUGAGGAAAGUCCUUUGACCGCCAUUUCUCCCCUUCAGAAGGCAAACACCUGGGGGAGAAGAUCUGCUUAAGGACCUGGUAACUGACAAAGAAUGGAAUGGGAGCGAGAACCGCCUAGCCAUCCCUUCUCCUUGCACAGUCAUGAAACAAAAGUUGAAAAGGAGCCUGGUUUUACUUGACCAGUCAUAAAUUACCAUAAAAUAAAAUGAGAUAUUAGGAACCUUUGAUCUCUGAAAAAGUAAUAUGUGUUGAAAAGAAAUAUCACUGUUACAUAUAGACAAAUAAUAGAAAUAUUUGAGGCAUGCAUUUAAAAUGUAGAGGCCACUUAUAGCAGGCAUAUUAACAUGUGCAUUUGCUUUUUAAGAAGUAUACACACGUGUACCUUUAGCUUUGAAAGGGUAAGAUUCAAUGCUUGGGUGAUGGAUGCACUAAAGUCUCAGAAGCCACCACUAAAGGACUUACCCACGUAACCGAAAACAACCUGUACUCCAAAAUCAAUGAAAUAAAAUAAAAAGGUAAGAUUCAUAAAUAGCAAGUUGAGAAUGCAUGUUUAUACCAUGUAGACAAUGCAUGA
Molecule: long non-coding RNA, 891 nt
Filed under: Homo sapiens (human)
Lineage: Eukaryota; Metazoa; Chordata; Mammalia; Primates; Hominidae
Description: HSALNT0135054
Source: RNAcentral